This 325-nucleotide unclassified non-coding RNA is filed under the name uncultured fungus. Its description in RNAcentral is "partial contains small subunit ribosomal RNA, internal transcribed spacer 1, and 5.8S ribosomal RNA". The stretch from base 1 to 73 matches the Rfam family "Eukaryotic small subunit ribosomal RNA", at positions 1759 to 1831 of the family's 1831-position model. The record is from RNAcentral. Lineage: Eukaryota; Fungi.
GCAAACUUGGUCAUUUAGAGGAAGUAAAAGUCGUAACAAGGUUUCCGUAGGUGAACCUGCGGAAGGAUCAUUAUUGAAACAUUGUGAAGGAAGUUGAGCUGGCUCUUCUAGUGCAUGUGCUCGCUUUCUUUCAAUACUCAUCCACCUGUGCACAUUUUGUAGAGGAUCUGGAAUGGGGCGAAAGCCCUUAGUACAGGUCUUCUAUGUCUUUACACACACUUAAUGUAUGUCUAGAAUGUCGUUUAUUGGGACUUAGUUGGCCCUUUAAAACUAUACAACUUUCAGCAACGGAUCUCUUGGCUCUCGCAUCGAUGAAGAACGCAGC